This 253-nucleotide ribosomal RNA is filed under the name uncultured bacterium. Its description in RNAcentral is "partial 16S ribosomal RNA". It matches the Rfam family "Bacterial small subunit ribosomal RNA", at positions 524 to 776 of the family's 1533-position model. The record is from RNAcentral.
UACGGAGGGUGCGAGCGUUGUUCGGAAUCACUGGGCGUAAAGGGCGUGUAGGCGGUCCGCUAAGUCUGAUGUGAAAGCCCGGGGCUCACCCCCGGAAGGGCAUUGGAAACUGACGGACUCGAGUCCCGAAGAGGAGGGUGGAAUUCCUGGUGUAGCGGUGAAAUGCGCAGAUAUCAGGAGGAACACCUAUUGCGAAGGCAGCUCGCUGGGACGUAACUGACGCUGAGACGCGAAAGCGUGGGGAGCAAACAGG